UCACUGCAGGACUAGUGGUUAGGCCUCAGCACUCUCACCGCUGCAGCCCGGGUUCGACUCCUGGCCAGGGAA
Molecule: non-coding RNA, 72 nt
Organism: Pangasius djambal
Lineage: Eukaryota; Metazoa; Chordata; Actinopteri; Siluriformes; Pangasiidae
Source: the annotation of a GenBank genome assembly